GGACAUGCUUCAGGUGGGAGCUUUCCCCGUGUGGGCUGCCCUGCGAUCUGCGCUGCGUGAGACAGCCUUCUGAACUCCAUUGCUGGAGCCUUGAUCCUACAGAGCCUCAGGAAGGACACCAGGGCACACGCUGUAUCUGGGGAAUCUGCACAGGGAGGUCUGAAGACAGCACCAGGAGCUGCCGUGCUCAGAGCAGCCUCUUGCAGGACUGCGAACACCCAGCGCAAGUCCUCCCCAUGCCCAGGACACCAACUGCAGCCAGAGCGGCACUGGUGGAGCACAAGGAAUACUGAUGAACACAUGUCCAGUGAGACGGGCAAGGUAGGUCCUCCAAGCCCCAGGUCCCUGCUAAUGGCUAGGCACUUCCUAAAGAAGCUGCAAGCUUUAAAAGCCAUAUACUAUCAGCCCCAUAAUAUCGGCUACAGUGGUUUUUUCCUGUCUCCCCCUGCCAGAUAUUGAAGGAACUUGAGCUGCGAGGCUGGUGCAGACAGAGCCAGCUGGCUCUUAGUCCUCCCUUUAAAAGUCAGCUUUCAAUGGCCAUUAGUACAAAUUGAGAAGACGUGUGUAAUGGCUUUGGCAGGGCUCGAUGCAGAAAGAAGGCUGGAUAGCAUAUGAACAAUGGGAGGUAAGUUUGUGGAAUUCUGUCUUUGUAAAUCCUGUGAAAGCCCCUUUCCACUUUGCAGAGAGAGAGGCUUUAAAGUUGGAAAUUGUUAGAAUACAGCUGCCUUGCCAUGCUAUUAUUUAACAACUUUAUAAUCUAAUACAUGCGUUGUCCUUGGUUCUCUG
Molecule: long non-coding RNA, 786 nt
Filed under: Anser brachyrhynchus (Pink-footed goose)
Lineage: Eukaryota; Metazoa; Chordata; Aves; Anseriformes; Anatidae
Description: lncRNA (ENSABRG00000018196.1)
Source: RNAcentral